UGAAUACGAGACGCUAAGGCGUCGAAGUAGUGUAUGUCAUACUUCCAAGAAAAGCUUGCACUGUCAUAGAUAAAAAACGCCUGUACCAUAACCGACACAGGUGGGUAGGUAGAGUAUACUAAGGGGCGCGAGAUAACUCUCUCUAAGGAACUCGGCAAAAUAACUCCGUAACUUCGGGAGAAGGAGUGCCUUAUUAUUAAGGUUGCAAUAACAAGAUCCAAGCAACUGUUUAUCAAAAACACAGGUCUCCGCUAAGUCGUAAGACGAUGUAUGGGGGCUGACGCCUGCCCAGUGCCAGAAGGUUAAAGAAGCUGGUUAGCAUUUGCGAAGCUAGUAACUGAAGCCCUGGUGAACGGCGGCCGUAACAAUAACGGUCCUAAGGUAGCGAAAUUCCUUGUCGGGUAAGUUCCGACCCGCACGAAAGCGUAAUGAUUUGGAUACUGUCUCGGAGAGGGGCUCGGUGAAAUAGACUUGUCUGUGAAGAUGCGGACUACCUGCACCAGGACAGAAAGACCCUAUGAAGCUUUACUGUAACUUGAAAUUGAAAUUGGACUUUAUUCGCGCAGUAUAGGUGGGAGGCGUUGAUUAUAAUCUUGCGGGAUUAUUGGAGCCAUUAGUGAGAUACCACUCUUGUAAUGUUAGAUUUCUAACUUUGAAUCAUUAUCUGGUCAAAGAACAGUUUCAGGCGGGCAGUUUGACUGGGGCGGUCGCCUCCUAAACGGUAACGGAGGCGUACAAAGGUUUCCUCUGAACGGUUAGAAAUCGUAUCUAGAGUGUAAAGGCAUAAGGAAGCUUGACUGUGAGACCUACAAGUCGAGCAGGGACGAAAGUCGGUCUUAGUGUUCUGACGGUACUGAGUGGAAAGGCCGUCACUCAACGGAUAAAAGUUACUCUAGGAUAACAGGCUGAUCUCCCCCAAGAGUUCACAUCGACGGGGAGGUUUGGCACCUCGAUGUCGGCUCAUCGCAUCCUGGGGCGGUAGUACGUCCCAAGGGUUGGGCUGUUCGCCCAUGAAAGCGGUACGCGAGCUGGGUUCAGAACGUCGUGAGACAGUUCGGUCCAUAUCCGGUGUAGGCGUUAGAAUAUUGAGAGGAGCCUUCUUUAGUACGAGAGGACCGAGAAGGACAUACCUCUGGUGUACCAGUUAUCGUGCCAACGGUAGACGCUGGGUAGCUAUGUAUGGAGUGGAUAACCGCUGAAAGCAUCUAAGUGGGAAGCCCACCUCAAGAUAAGUAUUCUC
This 1240-nucleotide ribosomal RNA is filed under the name metagenome. RNAcentral's name for it is "bacterial LSU rRNA". It matches the Rfam family "Bacterial large subunit ribosomal RNA", at positions 1564 to 2815 of the family's 2925-position model. The record is from RNAcentral.